GUAGUAUGGGUAACACAAGUACCGCUGAUGCGUGUAUUGAAACGUUUGCUGAUCGUAUGAUUUACGCAUGCACGCGGUUAUUCGGUGAAUUUAAAAAUUGUUACAACCCAACAAAGAGCACUUGUGCAGGCUGCAUGGAGCUGCGUGAGCAGGGCGUGAUCCCGGCUACAACCCCGCUGUACGCCGCCCACAGGCGGUGAUCCUGAACGCACACUGUGCCUCCGCCUCGCGUCGACUGACUCGCCUGGCAACCACAACAGCUCGCCUGCAUUAGCGCCUACAGCAACUACAUUCAGCAUCCUUCCACCACAAGCCCAGUCACCUGUAGGCAAGCGUCCAGCAAGGAAAAACUGUUCAAGUACUACUAUCACAGUAAAUCUUACUCAUAUGUACACAAACAAAAAUAAACCCAAAUUGAAAAGACUAAAAGUUCCAACAUUAAAGUUUUUGUAAAACAUCAAGUCUAGAAAGUACUUGAUAUGGUGCCAAUCCAACUGCGUGUGUACCACAACACAAACACAUUCUUUUAUUUCCAGUUUACAGAUAGUACUUUUUUAUUUACAACAAUUGAUUUAAAAAGUGUUUAGUUGACCAUGAAUGAAUGGACUGUAGUUAUCACAUGAUUAUCUAUACCAAUAAAUGAGUAAAAAAUUAA
Molecule: long non-coding RNA, 655 nt
Organism: Bacillus rossius redtenbacheri
Lineage: Eukaryota; Metazoa; Arthropoda; Insecta; Phasmatodea; Bacillidae
Exons: 2
Source: RefSeq, a predicted model, not a curated record